Molecule: unclassified non-coding RNA, 344 nt
Filed under: Hevea brasiliensis (rubber tree)
Lineage: Eukaryota; Viridiplantae; Streptophyta; Magnoliopsida; Malpighiales; Euphorbiaceae
Source: RNAcentral
GGGGAGGAAUUGAGAUGUCGAAUCUUGUCUUGGUCACAUAACUUCUGGAUCUUUGGGCCAUUCAAGUUCUUGGCGUUGUCAGUGACAAUUUCAUUGGGGAGACCGUGUCGGCAGAUAAUAUUAUUUCUGAGGAAUUUGAGGAAUGUGUUCUGUGUAAUGUGAGCAUAUGAUGUCGCUUCGACCCAUUUAGAAAAAUAAUCGAUAGCCACCAGGAUAAAUCUAUGCCCAUUGGAUGCCCCAGAGGGGAAUUCUCUGGUUCUGAUGUAGAGCAAGAUGUCAUGGUACCAAGGUUUACCAUCAGGUUCUUCCUCAAUCAUGAAGCAGUAAGCCGGCUCACUUCUUGC